This is a small nuclear RNA of Colossoma macropomum (tambaqui), 115 nucleotides long. RefSeq annotates it as U5 spliceosomal RNA. The transcript has a single exon. The record is from RefSeq and is a predicted model, not a curated record. NCBI's taxonomy places the organism in Eukaryota, Metazoa, Chordata, Actinopteri, Characiformes, Serrasalmidae.
UUGCUCAUGUUUCUGUUCAUGUCGUAUAAAUCUCACCUUUUACUAAAGGUUUCUGUGGAGGGAACCAUUAUGAGUAUUGCAAAAAUUGGUGGUGGUUCUGUAGCUCAGUGGGGCU